RNAcentral lists this ribosomal RNA (253 nucleotides) under uncultured bacterium. RNAcentral's name for it is "partial 16S ribosomal RNA". It matches the Rfam family "Bacterial small subunit ribosomal RNA", at positions 524 to 776 of the family's 1533-position model. The record is from RNAcentral.
GACAGAGGGGGCAAGCGUUGCUCGGAAUCACUGGGCGUAAAGGGCGCGUAGGCGGGCUGGCAAGUCGGUCGUGAAAUCCUUCGGCUCAACCGAAGAACGUCGGCCGAUACUGCCGUUCUUGAGGGAUGCAGAGGAGAUUGGAAUUCCCGGUGUAGCGGUGAAAUGUGUAGAGAUCGGGAGGAACACCGGUGGCGAAGGCGGGUCUCUGGGCAUCUCCUGACGCUGAGGCGCGAAAGCGUGGGGAGCGAACAGG